This 253-nucleotide ribosomal RNA is filed under the name uncultured bacterium. RNAcentral describes it as "partial 16S ribosomal RNA". It matches the Rfam family "Bacterial small subunit ribosomal RNA", at positions 524 to 776 of the family's 1533-position model. The record is from RNAcentral.
UACGUAGGGGGCAAGCGUUGUCCGGAUUUAUUGGGCGUAAAGAGCGUGUAGGCGGCUCGAUAAGUCCGCUGUGAAAGUCCAGGGCUCAACCCUGGAAGGCCGGUGGAAACUGUCGGGCUAGAGUCCGGAAGAGGCGAGUGGAAUUCCUGGUGUAGCGGUGAAAUGCGCAGAUAUCAGGAAGAACACCUAUGGCGAAGGCAGCUCUCUGGGACGGUACUGACGCUGAGACGCGAAAGCGUGGGGAGCGAACAGG